AUCAAAAACAUGUCCUUUGGGGAAAAAUAAGAGGUCUAAUCUGCUCAAUGAAAAAUUAAAUAGCUGCAGAAAUUUAACUGUACUAAGGUAGCAUAAUAAUUAGUUUAUUAAUUGUAAACUGGAAUGAAUGAUUUAAUAAAAUAUUAACUGUCUCUAAAAUAAAAAGAUAAUUUUAUUUUUAAGUAAAAAAGCUUAAAUAAUGUUAGGGGACGAGAAGACCCCAUAGAUUUUUAUAAAAAUAUUUUUUUAUUAAAAAAUAUGUUUAUUUAAAUGGGGAAUUUUUAAAAUGAAAUAAUUUUUAAAAGUGAAAUACAUAUAUGAAUGAGAAAGUGAAUUAUAAUAAUUUAUUUAAGAUAAAAAUACCUUGGGGAUAACAGCAUAAUAAUAUUUUAAAGAUCUUAUUUUUUAUAUUGGUGGGACCUCGAUGUUGA
This 431-nucleotide ribosomal RNA is filed under the name Semaeomyia leucomelas. RNAcentral describes it as "partial 16S ribosomal RNA". The record is from RNAcentral. Lineage: Eukaryota; Metazoa; Arthropoda; Insecta; Hymenoptera; Evaniidae.